Molecule: ribosomal RNA, 495 nt
Filed under: uncultured bacterium
Lineage: Bacteria
Description: partial 16S ribosomal RNA
Rfam family: Bacterial small subunit ribosomal RNA
Source: RNAcentral
GACGAACGCUGGCGGCGUGCCUAAUACAUGCAAGUAGAACGCUGAAGGAGGAGCUUGCUCUUCUGGAUGAGUUGCGAACGGGUGAGUAACGCGUAGGUAACCUGCCUGGUAGCGGGGGAUAACUAUUGGAAACGAUAGCUAAUACCGCAUAACAGUAGAUGUUGCAUGACAUUUGCUUAAAAGGUGCAAUUGCACCACUACCAGAUGGACCUGCGUUGUAUUAGCUAGUUGGUGGGGUAACGGCUCACCAAGGCGACGAUACAUAGCCGACCUGAGAGGGUGAUCGGCCACACUGGGACUGAGACACGGCCCAGACUCCUACGGGAGGCAGCAGUAGGGAAUCUUCGGCAAUGGACGGAAGUCUGACCGAGCAACGCCGCGUGAGUGAAGAAGGUUUUCGGAUCGUAAAGCUCUGUUGUAAGAGAAGAACGAGUGUGAGAGUGGAAAGUUCACACUGUGACGGCAUCUUACCAGAAAGAGACGGCUAACUACGUG